GAUGAACGCUGGCGGCGUGCUUAACACAUGCAAGUCGAGCGAAGCACUUUUGCGGAUUUCUUCGGAUUGAAGCAAUUGUGACUGAGCGGCGGACGGGUGAGUAACGCGUGGGUAACCUGCCUCAUACAGGGGGAUAACAGUUGGAAACGGCUGCUAAUACCGCAUAAGCGCACAGUACCGCAUGGUACCGUGUGAAAAACUCCGGUGGUAUGAGAUGGACCCGCGUCUGAUUAGGUAGUUGGUGGGGUAACGGCCUACCAAGCCGACGAUCAGUAGCCGACCUGAGAGGGUGACCGGCCACAUUGGGACUGAGACACGGCCCAAACUCCUACGGGAGGCAGCAGUGGGGAAUAUUGCACAAUGGGGGAAACCCUGAUGCAGCGACGCCGCGUGAGCGAUGAAGUAUUUCGGUAUGUAAAGCUCUAUCAGCAGGGAAGAAAAUGACGGUACCUGACUAAGAAGCCCCGGCUAACUACGUGCCAGCAGCCGCGGUAAUACGUAGGGGGCAAGCGUUAUCCGGAUUUGCUGGGUGUAAAGGGAGCGUAGACGGCAUGGCAAGCCAGAUGUGAAAGCCCGGGGCUCAACCCCGGGACUGCAUUUGGAACUGUCAGGCUAGAGUGUCGGAGAGGAAAGCGGAAUUCCUAGUGUAGCGGUGAAAUGCGUAGAUAUUAGGAGGAACACCAGUGGCGAAGGCGGCUUUCUGGACGAUGACUGACGUUGAGGCUCGAAAGCGUGGGGAGCAAACAAGAUUAGAUACCCUGGUAGUCCACGCCGUAAACGAUCCAUACUAGGUGUCGGGUGGCAAAGCCACUCGGUGCCGCAGCAAACGCAAUAAGUAUUCCACCUGGGGAGUACGUUCGCAAGAAUGAAACUCAAAGGAAUUGACGGGGACCCGCACAAGCGGUGGAGCAUGUGGUUUAAUUCGAAGCAACGCGAAGAACCUUACCUGGUCUUGACAUCCCUCUGACCGCUCUUUAAUCGGAGCUUUCCUUCGGGACAGAGGAGACAGGUGGUGCAUGGUUGUCGUCAGCUCGUGUCGUGAGAUGUUGGGUUAAGUCCCGCAACGAGCGCAACCCCCAUCUUUAGUAGCCAGCAUCUAAGGUGGGCACUCUAGAGAGACUGCCAGGGAUAACCUGGAGGAAGGUGGGGAGGACGUCAAAUCAUCAUGCCCCUUAUGACCAGGGCUACACACGUGCUACAAUGGCGUAAACAAAGGGAAGCGAGCCCGCGAGGGGGAGCAAAUCCCAAAAAUAACGUCUCAGUUCGGAUUGUAGUCUGCAACUCGACUACAUGAAGCUGGAAUCGCUAGUAAUCGCGAAUCAGAAUGUCGCG
Molecule: ribosomal RNA, 1332 nt
Filed under: uncultured bacterium
Lineage: Bacteria
Description: bacterial SSU rRNA
Rfam family: Bacterial small subunit ribosomal RNA
Source: RNAcentral